Molecule: unclassified non-coding RNA, 363 nt
Filed under: uncultured bacterium
Lineage: Bacteria
Description: contains 16S-23S intergenic spacer region
Source: RNAcentral
UCCUGGUUAACCCAGGCAGUCUCGUGUGAAAAAUACAACACACGACAAGGGUUGCGCUCGUUGCGGGACUUAACCCAACAUCUCACGACACGAGCUGACGACGACCAUGCAGCACCUGUCACCAGGCUCCUUGCGGCACUCUCUCGUUUCCAAGAGAUUCCUGGGAUGUCAAACCUUGGUAAGGUUCUCCGCUUAUCGUCGAAUUAAACCACACGCUCCACCGCUUGUGCGGGUCCCCGUCAAUUCCUUUGAGUUUUAAGCUUGCGCUCGUACUCCCCAGGCGGGGUGCUUAACGCGUUAGCUUCGAUACUCAGGGGGUCUAGUCCCCAAAUACCUAGCACCCAUCGUUUACGGCGUGGACUA